This 1421-nucleotide ribosomal RNA is filed under the name Weissella confusa. RNAcentral describes it as "bacterial SSU rRNA". It matches the Rfam family "Bacterial small subunit ribosomal RNA". Lineage: Bacteria; Bacillati; Bacillota; Bacilli; Lactobacillales; Lactobacillaceae. The record is from RNAcentral.
UCAACUGAUUUGAAGAGCUUGCUCAGAUAUGACGAUGGACAUUGCAAAGAGUGGCGAACGGGUGAGUAACACGUGGGAAACCUACCUCUUAGCAGGGGAUAACAUUUGGAAACAGAUGCUAAUACCGUAUAACAAUGACAACCGCAUGGUUGUUAUUUAAAAGAUGGUUCUGCUAUCACUAAGAGAUGGUCCCGCGGUGCAUUAGCUAGUUGGUAAGGUAAUGGCUUACCAAGGCGAUGAUGCAUAGCCGAGUUGAGAGACUGAUCGGCCACAAUGGGACUGAGACACGGCCCAUACUCCUACGGGAGGCAGCAGUAGGGAAUCUUCCACAAUGGGCGAAAGCCUGAUGGAGCAACGCCGCGUGUGUGAUGAAGGGUUUCGGCUCGUAAAACACUGUUGUAAGAGAAGAAUGACAUUGAGAGUAACUGUUCAAUGUGUGACGGUAUCUUACCAGAAAGGAACGGCUAAAUACGUGCCAGCAGCCGCGGUAAUACGUAUGUUCCAAGCGUUAUCCGGAUUUAUUGGGCGUAAAGCGAGCGCAGACGGUUAUUUAAGUCUGAAGUGAAAGCCCUCAGCUCAACUGAGGAAUUGCUUUGGAAACUGGAUGACUUGAGUGCAGUAGAGGAAAGUGGAACUCCAUGUGUAGCGGUGAAAUGCGUAGAUAUAUGGAAGAACACCAGUGGCGAAGGCGGCUUUCUGGACUGUAACUGACGUUGAGGCUCGAAAGUGUGGGUAGCAAACAGGAUUAGAUACCCUGGUAGUCCACACCGUAAACGAUGAGUGCUAGGUGUUUGAGGGUUUCCGCCCUUAAGUGCCGCAGCUAACGCAUUAAGCACUCCGCCUGGGGAGUACGACCGCAAGGUUGAAACUCAAAGGAAUUGACGGGGACCCGCACAAGCGGUGGAGCAUGUGGUUUAAUUCGAAGCAACGCGAAGAACCUUACCAGGUCUUGACAUCCCUUGACAACUCCAGAGAUGGAGCGUUCCCUUCGGGGACAAGGUGACAGGUGGUGCAUGGUUGUCGUCAGCUCGUGUCGUGAGAUGUUGGGUUAAGUCCCGCAACGAGCGCAACCCUUAUUACUAGUUGCCAGCAUUCAGUUGGGCACUCUAGUGAGACUGCCGGUGACAAACCGGAGGAAGGUGGGGAUGACGUCAAAUCAUCAUGCCCCUUAUGACCUGGGCUACACACGUGCUACAAUGGCGUAUACAACGAGUUGCCAACCCGCGAGGGUGAGCUAAUCUCUUAAAGUACGUCUCAGUUCGGAUUGUAGGCUGCAACUCGCCUACAUGAAGUCGGAAUCGCUAGUAAUCGCGGAUCAGCACGCCGCGGUGAAUACGUUCCCGGGUCUUGUACACACCGCCCGUCACACCAUGAGAGUUUGUAACACCCAAAGCCGGUGGGGUAACCUUCGGGAGCCAGCC